AGGACGAUGUCGUUUACAGUUUCUUUGACCCCGAGAUCAGUGCGCUGAAGGAUAUGAUAGCAUUGAUUGCACUCGACCAUGUGGGGAUGUUUCGUGAGAUGUAUGGGGGUAUUCUGAAGAUGGUUUUCAGACUCACUGACAGAGAUAGGAGCGCCAUUCAUACUCUUCUCCAGUUCUAUGAUCCUGGUUUGAGGUGUUUUGUCUUCCCAGAUUACUUACUCGGGCCUUUGAUGGAGGAUUAUGCUGAU
Molecule: long non-coding RNA, 248 nt
Filed under: Lathyrus oleraceus (garden pea)
Lineage: Eukaryota; Viridiplantae; Streptophyta; Magnoliopsida; Fabales; Fabaceae
Description: Pisum sativum (pea) long non-coding RNA (PSAT_LNC041190)
Source: RNAcentral